Molecule: long non-coding RNA, 736 nt
Filed under: Fukomys damarensis (Damara mole-rat)
Lineage: Eukaryota; Metazoa; Chordata; Mammalia; Rodentia; Bathyergidae
Description: lncRNA (ENSFDAG00000030556.1)
Source: RNAcentral
CGUGCGUCCCGGGGGUCAGCCGUCAGCGGGGGAAAGGAGGCAGCUCGGUGCCCAUCAGAAGCCUAGCAAGAGUCUCUCUGGAAACCACCGCAGCACUCAGAGGCAUCUCAAAUGAGAUUUAUGCACAGCGACGCAGGUAGAUCUAAAAACACAGUGUUAAGUGAAAGAAUUAAGCAGCAGAAUGAGAUCUAUAGCCCAAUACAAUUUAUGUAAAUUAAAACACAUUCACACGAUAAACACCAUAUAUUUUACAGGAAGCAUCCAUAUCUAAGGACAUAUAUUAGGGAUGUGAGCGUGGGCGCACAGGAUCAGGGAUACGGGAGAAAAUCGAACACAGUGAGACCAGAGUGAGGCUGUGCACGAACACGAAGCUCAGUUUAUCUGGAAGUUCUUCCUAAAGUCCGGUCAGAGGCAUGAUUGCUUUUGCAUUGGCCCAUUUCAGGUGCCAGCUUUUUGGUCUCACAGAGUUGCUGACCGUCUCUUGCUGACGUCAGGUUGGGAGCCGACGGUCCUUGCCCCUGUGAGAGGCCGACUCUGCCUGGGUCUGCCCGGCUUUCCCUGUCCCCUCUGGUGGCCCUUUGUAUCUUCCGGCAGCCCCAGAUGCCUGAUCCCUUUUCACAGGUGUCGCGACCAAGGCUCACCCAGCUGGGGUGGCAGGGCUUGUACUGAACUUGCCUCCAAAGCCUAUGCUUUUUUUUUGGUAAAAAGUCAGACUGUUUCAAAUCUGAAAACAACC